GACGAACGCUGGCGGCGUGCCUAAUACAUGCAAGUCGAACGAACCGCGACUGAGUGCUUGCACUUGGUCAAGGUGAGUGGCGAACGGGUGAGUAACACGUGGGUAACCUACCUCAUAGUGGGGGAUAACAGUCGGAAACGACUGCUAAUACCGCAUAGGACAUGGGAUCACAUGAUUCCGUGAGGAAAGGUGGCGCAAGCUAUCGCUAAGAGAUGGACCCGCGGUGCAUUAGCUAGUUGGUAGGGUAACGGCCUACCAAGGCGAUGAUGCAUAGCCGACCUGAGAGGGUGAUCGGCCACAUUGGGACUGAGACACGGCCCAAACUCCUACGGGAGGCAGCAGUAGGGAAUCUUCCGCAAUGGACGCAAGUCUGACGGAGCAACGCCGCGUGAGUGAAGAAGGUCUUCGGAUCGUAAAGCUCUGUUGUUAGAGAAGAACAGCGCAUAGAGUAACUGUUAUGCGUGGACGGAU
RNAcentral lists this ribosomal RNA (471 nucleotides) under Abiotrophia defectiva. RNAcentral describes it as "bacterial SSU rRNA". It matches the Rfam family "Bacterial small subunit ribosomal RNA", at positions 28 to 477 of the family's 1533-position model. The record is from RNAcentral. Lineage: Bacteria; Bacillati; Bacillota; Bacilli; Lactobacillales; Aerococcaceae.